Long non-coding RNA from Carcharodon carcharias (great white shark), 667 nucleotides. RefSeq lists it as uncharacterized. NCBI's taxonomy places the organism in Eukaryota, Metazoa, Chordata, Chondrichthyes, Lamniformes, Lamnidae. The record is from RefSeq and is a predicted model, not a curated record. The transcript has 3 exons.
AUGAAGAAGCAUCCUGUUCCCUGCCAGCUGCAACAGAAAGCUUGCAAAGUUGACCAAGAAGGCAUAGCUGGAGAUGGCAGCUCAUGCGGUCCGCAGCAGAAGAGGAACUGAGCGCAGUGCAGGAAACAUUUUAGUGAUCGGCUUAGGUCUGGCGAGGCAAGUCCUAAGUUUGAUCCAAUCGCAUGUUAAUUGGUCAGCAGUUACCAGAUUGCAAAAGAGAGGGGCAGCCUGAGGGUGCAUAUAGAGUUUUCCUGACCAUGGGUGAGAUGUGUGCUCAGCAGCCUUGAUGAUCAGUAAGCAUUGUCCAUUAUCUGAAUGUUACCGGACUAUAGACUAUAGGAAGUCUGCAACAUCCUACGUGAAGGAACAGCUGCAAGUGGCACAAGGCAAACGAAUGAAGGAAAAGCGUUAGCAAAACAAAGAAUGCGCUGGAGAAGAGUGUGUUGGGUGAGACUCUGGAGCUUUGCAGUGUUUGUUGGAAGGUUACUAACUUUUGUUCUUGACGGAUGUUUUUCUCACUGAGAUAAAGACCAGGAUGCAAGACAUCCCUGGCUCCGUAACUCGCUGAGGCUGCAAGUUUUUGAGGCUCAGUCCCCUGAGCUGCAUCCUCAGAUGUAUGGCUUACGAACUUCCCUCCUGAAGCACUUACUCCAGAUUUCAACACUGG